RNAcentral lists this non-coding RNA (953 nucleotides) under Afropipistrellus eisentrauti (Eisentraut's pipistrelle). Its description in RNAcentral is "Nycticeinops eisentrauti 12S ribosomal RNA". It matches the Rfam family "Bacterial small subunit ribosomal RNA". The record is from RNAcentral. Lineage: Eukaryota; Metazoa; Chordata; Mammalia; Chiroptera; Vespertilionidae.
CAUAGGUUUGGUCCUGGCCUUUCUAUUAGUUGUAAGUGAACUUACACAUGCAAGAAUCCCCACACCUGUGAAAGUGCCCUCUAAUCAUUAUUUGAUCAAAGGAGCUGGUAUCAAGCACACUAAAAGUAGCUCACAACACCUUGCUCAGCCACACCCCCACGGGAAACAGCAGUGAUAAAAAUUAAGCAAUAAAUGAAAGUUUGACUAAGUUACACUAUUAAGGACUGGUAAAUUUCGUGCCAGCCACCGCGGUCAUACGAUUAGGUCAAACUAAUAGAUAAUCGGCGUAGAGUGUGUUUUAGAGUCAAUUCACUAAUAAAGUCAAACCUUAACUAAGCUGUAAAAAGCCCUAGUUAUUGUAAGAUACUUAACGAAAGUAACUUUAAAUUCUCUGAUUACACAAUAGCUAAGAUCCAAACUGGGAUUAGAUACCCCACUAUGCCUAGCCCUAAACAUAAAAAAUUAUAAACAAAAUUAUUCGCCAGAGUACUACCAGCAAUAGCUAGAAACUCAAAGGACUUGGCGGUGCCUUAUAUCCUCCUAGAGGAGCCUGUUCCAUAAUCGAUAAACCCCGAUAUACCUUACCAACCUUUGCCAAAUCAGCCUAUAUACCGCCAUCUUCAGCGAACCCUAAAAAGGAAAAACAGUAAGCAAAAUCAUCAACAUAAAAACGUUAGGUCAAGGUGUAGCCUAUAGGUUGGAGAGAAAUGGGCUACAUUUCCCAAUUGAAGAGAUAAUCACGAAAACUUAUGUGAAAUCAUCAGUUAAAGGUGGAUUUAGUAGUAAAUUAAGAAUAGAGUGCUUAAUUGAAUAGGGCCAUGAGGCACGCACACACCGCCCGUCACCCUCCUCGAGUAGCAAAUAUUAAUUAAUUCAUAAAACUUUAGAUAACACAUGCAAGAGGAGACAAGUCGUAACAAGGUAAGUGUACUGGAAAGUGCACUUGGAUAACG